Molecule: non-coding RNA, 428 nt
Organism: Odocoileus virginianus texanus
Lineage: Eukaryota; Metazoa; Chordata; Mammalia; Artiodactyla; Cervidae
Source: RefSeq, a predicted model, not a curated record
UAGGCAACAGGUCUCGUUCAGCCAUUGGUCAGUGCCUCAGUGGGCCCCCCCUCCCCAACAAGAAACCAACUGUCAAUGAGUGACCAUUAGGGAAGUGAUUCAGCCAAGGGUCAGUGUUCAUCAGGUGGAGAGUGAGGACUGAGACCUUGGAGAGCGAAAGUUGUGCCUUGGGACCUUGUUGCUUCUUGUCAAGACGGAGAAUAACAUCGUUUGGUAGGAGACUAUAGGAACAUCAUUACCUGAUCAUGACCUGACUUCAAUAGCAAAGGCUCUGGCACCAAGAAGCUUCCAACAACUUACCACGCCCCUCUCCCACCUUUUGCUUUUAAAGGGGCUUGCUGAAAGCUUUUAGUAACUUCGGGGUUCUUGGGGGCAUGAGCCACCCAACUCCUUGUAUGAACCUAUAAUAAACCUUUCUCUGUUCCAAA